AUUGAACGCUGGCGGCAUGCCUUACACAUGCAAGUCGAACGGCAGCACGGACUUCGGUCUGGUGGCGAGUGGCGAACGGGUGAGUAAUACAUCGGAACGUGCCUAGUAGUGGGGGAUAACUACUCGAAAGAGUGGCUAAUACCGCAUGAGAUCUACGGAUGAAAGCAGGGGAUCGCAAGACCUUGUGCUACUAGAGCGGCCGAUGGCAGAUUAGGUAGUUGGUGGGAUAAAAGCUUACCAAGCCAACGAUCUGUAGCUGGUCUGAGAGGUUGACCGGCCACAUUGGGACUGAGACACGGCCCAG
This 304-nucleotide ribosomal RNA is filed under the name uncultured bacterium. RNAcentral's name for it is "bacterial SSU rRNA". It matches the Rfam family "Bacterial small subunit ribosomal RNA", at positions 30 to 334 of the family's 1533-position model. The record is from RNAcentral.